This 73-nucleotide transfer RNA is filed under the name Cimex lectularius (bed bug). Its description in RNAcentral is "tRNA-Trp". It matches the Rfam family "tRNA". Rfam says of the family: Transfer RNA (tRNA) molecules are approximately 80 nucleotides in length. Lineage: Eukaryota; Metazoa; Arthropoda; Insecta; Hemiptera; Cimicidae. The record is from Rfam by way of RNAcentral.
GUCACGAUAGCUCAAGUGGUAGAGCAGUGGCGUCCAAAGCAGAAGGUCGUGGGUUCGAAUCCCGCUCGUGACA